UACACUGUAAAAUGCAAUAGCUGAGCUUACUAAAAAGAUUAAGUAAACUUAACUUAUUUAAUUAAGUUUGUUAACCUUACUUAGUUUAACUAAGUAAUCCCAACUUUUUUCUAUGCAAACUCAAGUCAACUUGAUUAAACUUAAAAGAUUAAUUUAGCUCAACUUAAAAUUUCAAGUAUUUUCAAAAAGGAUGACUGCACAGUAGGUGGCAGUAAUGCUCCCAAGGAGUAAGUGGUGGCUUAACUGAGUGGUUAACUGAAGAAGACGACAACACAUGGUCGGAUGAGAGCAUGAGGAGCAGGAGCUUGUUUCUUUGAAGAGAGCGCAUACACUUCAUGGAAAGUCAGUAUAACGUUACUGUGGAGUACAACCAAGUCGCAAGCAAAAACCUCAAGCAAGAAUUGUUCUCAUCCCUUGCUAAACAUUGUUUUUGAAGAUUUUGAAUGAGAGAAAAGUUUAAAAGCUCUCUUGAGUAUCUAAUAAACAUCACUGAUGUCACUGCUCGGUGGACGGUAGUUCUCCGUGGUCUUGCUAUCCUUCUUGCGGAAGACACUACAGACUUCCUGAAAACAAACAUGGUUAGUAUUCUUCUCGUUUAAUCAAUAUGAGAUGUCCUAAUUUUUGUGUUAGCAUUUAAUUAGCAUUAUUAAAGAAAUAAUGUGUAAAUAGAAGAUAAUUAAAGGCACCAAGGCACAUCCUUUUGUCCCACAAUUCUAUGCGUGAGCAUGCUCAGGAUUGGUUGAGCCUGGUUGAGUUCGAUAAAAUAAAAUGGUGGGCAAGAAAGCAACUGAGCACACAUUUAGUGUAAAUAAAGUAAUAUUUUCACUUUUGGUUGCAUUUCUAGCGAGAAAUUUGUAUUGUAGUUUUGAACUCUUUCCCCGCCAUUGAGUUAUUCCGUCAAUUAAGAGAAUCAAUAACUUCUGAUAAAUGCUGUGAAUAAAUUAAAACAUAAUUUAUUUGCCAGGUAAAGGUUUUAUGCCAAUUACAUAACCAAUUCAAAUUCAUUAUAAAGAAAGCAAAACAUCAAAUAUUCAAAGAUCAGUCUGAGAUGUAUACCUGACAGUAGCGAAAUACAUCAACAUGACACUAUGGGUUUUGGUUUAUCGCAUUAUGAGUGAACAAAGCUUAAUACAGGUGUUAACAGUGUGUAAACCGUUUUGAGCUGUCCACUUUCGACUACAUUCAGAUGUAUUCAAAACAGAUUAGAACCGCUUAAACACGCUGUAACCCGUAUGCUGGAAAUAAAUUUGACAGGUACAGUUUAAUAAUACACAAAAUUAAAUCAAAUGUCUUUUAAUAACAUAUGAUGUUAUAGUUACAAAUGAUUAAACCAAAUAGUGUGUUUGUGACAUUUGAACGUCUUGUCUUAAAACUGAAAAUAAACAGGUUUUCCUGUAUUUGUUAAAAAUAAGCUUAUAAAAUAGUUAAAAUAAAUAUUUAAUGUUGCUUACCUUAUGAGUAAAAUAGCCACAUAACAAGUGGGAUAAUGCACAGACAGCAGGUUGUUAUCAUGAAAUAAGCCCCUUCAGUUUGAUACAAGACCCUCUGCUUGACACAGAGUCCUGAUCAAACUGUUGGGGAUUAUUUCUGGAAAAACAACCUGCUGCCUAUACAAUAUACCUUACCUAUAGAAGAGUUUUCUAACAAGAUAUUAUUAAUUAAAUAUGUUCCAAGGAUGUUUUUGCACCACCAGGAAAGAAGCUUCUGCUGAAAGGUCCAAAUUAUUAUUGGCAAUUCCAACCGAAGCACUGUUACAAAUUUAAGUGUCACUUCAAAAACUAGUAACAUCACCUUGAACAGUUUAAAUUUUUAAAUGACACAUCCACUUUGCAUUUGUAUUAUGAGAAUUUAUAUUAA
This is a non-coding RNA of Misgurnus anguillicaudatus (oriental weatherfish), 1857 nucleotides long. Lineage: Eukaryota; Metazoa; Chordata; Actinopteri; Cypriniformes; Cobitidae. The record is from RefSeq and is a predicted model, not a curated record.